UCUUCCGCAUUAAAGCUCCGCCUAUGCUGGUUGAUUGACACCUCAUUUGCAUUUGAUUUAUCAUUUGCGAUGUCGGUUUGAGCAUUCGAUUUAUAGUUUGAGCAUUUGAUUUAUCAUUUGAUCUUUUAAGCAUUUGAAUUUUCAUUUUCAUUUUGUUUGGAAAAAACUUCCAUAG
This is a non-coding RNA of Danio rerio (zebrafish), 175 nucleotides long. The record is from Ensembl. Lineage: Eukaryota; Metazoa; Chordata; Actinopteri; Cypriniformes; Danionidae.